UACAGAGGUCUCAAGCGUUGUUCGGAUUCAUUGGGCGUAAAGGGUGCGUAGGCGGCGCGGUAAGUCGGGGGUGAAAUCUCGGAGCUUAACUCCGAAACUGCAUUCGAUACUGCCGUGCUUGAGGACUGGAGAGGAGACUGGAAUUUACUGUGUAGCGGUGAAAUGCGUAGAUAUCGUAAGGAAGACCAGUGGCGAAGGCGGGUCUCUGGACAGUUCCUGACGCUGAGGCACGAAGGUCAGGGGAGCAAACGGG
Molecule: ribosomal RNA, 253 nt
Filed under: uncultured bacterium
Lineage: Bacteria
Description: partial 16S ribosomal RNA
Rfam family: Bacterial small subunit ribosomal RNA
Source: RNAcentral